UACGUAGGUGGCAAGCGUUGUCCGGAAUUAUUGGGCGUAAAGCGCGCGCAGGUGGUUUCUUAAGUCUGAUGUGAAAGCCCACGGCUCAACCGUGGAGGGUCAUUGGAAACUGGGGAACUUGAGUGCAGAAGAGGAAAGUGGAAUUCCAAGUGUAGCGGUGAAAUGCGUAGAGAUUUGGAGGAACACCAGUGGCGAAGGCGACUUUCUGGUCUGUAACUGACACUGAGGCGCGAAAGCGUGGGGAGCGAACGAGG
Molecule: ribosomal RNA, 254 nt
Filed under: uncultured bacterium
Lineage: Bacteria
Description: partial 16S ribosomal RNA
Rfam family: Bacterial small subunit ribosomal RNA
Source: RNAcentral